UACGGAGGAUCCGAGCGUUAUCCGGAUUUACUGGGUGUAAAGGGAGCGCAGGCGGCGUGGCAAGUCAGAUGUGAAAACCCGGGGCCCAACCCCGGGAGUGCAUUUGAAACUGCCAUGCUGGAGUGCCGGAGAGGUAAGCGGAAUUCCUAGUGUAGCGGUGAAAUGCGUAGAUAUUAGGAGGAACACCAGUGGCGAAGGCGGCUUACUGGGCUUUAACUGACGCUGAGGCACGAAAGCGUGGGUAUCGAACAGG
RNAcentral lists this ribosomal RNA (253 nucleotides) under uncultured Eubacteriales bacterium. RNAcentral's name for it is "uncultured Clostridiales bacterium partial 16S ribosomal RNA". It matches the Rfam family "Bacterial small subunit ribosomal RNA", at positions 524 to 776 of the family's 1533-position model. Lineage: Bacteria; Bacillati; Bacillota; Clostridia; Eubacteriales. The record is from RNAcentral.